CCUACGGGAGGCAGCAGUCGGGAAUUUUGAGCAAUGGGCGAAAGCCUGACCCAGCAACGCCGCGUGAAGGAUGAAAUCCCUCGGGAUGUAAACUUCGCAAGAACGGGAAGAAUAAGUAGGGGACAAUACCCCCUAUGAUGACGGUACCGUUUGUAAGCUCCGGCUAACUCCGUACCAGCAGCCGCGGUAAUACGGGGGGAGCAAGCGUUGUUCGGAUUUACUGGGCGUAAAGGGCGCGUAGGCGGCCAGCACAAGUCAGUUGUGAAAUCUCCGAGCUUAACUCGGAAAGGUCAACUGAUACUGUGCGGCUAGAGUGCAGAAGGGGCAACUGGAAUUCUUGGUGUAGCGGUGAAAUGCGUAGAUAUCAAGAGGAACACCUGCGGCGAAGGCGGGUUGCUGGGCUGACACUGACGCUGAGGCGCGAAAGCUAGGGGAGCGAACGGGAUUAGAUACCCCGGUAGUCCUAGCCUUAAACGAUGAAUGCUUGGUGUCUGGGGUUAUAAAGUCCCCGGGUGCCGUCGCUAACGCUUUAAGCAUUCCGCCUGGGGAGUACGGUCGCAAGACUGAAACUCAAAGGAAUUGACGG
This 586-nucleotide ribosomal RNA is filed under the name uncultured bacterium. Its description in RNAcentral is "bacterial SSU rRNA". It matches the Rfam family "Bacterial small subunit ribosomal RNA", at positions 338 to 916 of the family's 1533-position model. The record is from RNAcentral.